AGUAUAUAUGUGGUUUUAUAGGGAUCUUACUUUGUGGAAAAUGACACAGUAAAUAAAUAAUACAUGUUUUUUUUUUCUUUUUAUUGAUUGUUUGAAUUAAACUACGUACAUACGUACAUACUCUUUAUUUUUUAGUUUAUCUUAAAAAUAAUAUUAUUCCGUCUGUAGUAUUUUAAUUAUCAUCUUAACUCUUUUAUGUCGGUCAGGAAAGGCAAGAUAUAUG
RNAcentral lists this long non-coding RNA (223 nucleotides) under Solanum tuberosum (potato). Its description in RNAcentral is "long non-coding RNA (STUB_LNC000440)". The record is from RNAcentral. Lineage: Eukaryota; Viridiplantae; Streptophyta; Magnoliopsida; Solanales; Solanaceae.